UACGUGGGGGCCGAGCGUUGCCCGGAGUUACUGGGCGUAAAGGGCGCGCAGGCGGCGGCGUGGGUCCGGCGUGAAAGCCCCCGGCUCAACCGGGGAACGUCGUCGGGGACCGCGCCGCUUGAGGGCGGCAGGGGCCGGUGGAAUGCCUGGUGUAGUGGUGAAAUGCGUAGAGAUCCGGAGGAACACCAGUGGCGAAAGCGACUUCCUGGACCAAUACUGACGCUCAUGUGCGAAAGCGUGGGGAGCAAACAGG
This 253-nucleotide ribosomal RNA is filed under the name uncultured bacterium. Its description in RNAcentral is "partial 16S ribosomal RNA". It matches the Rfam family "Bacterial small subunit ribosomal RNA", at positions 524 to 776 of the family's 1533-position model. The record is from RNAcentral.